AGAAUUUCACAGUCUUUUGGUAGCAGUCGUGCAGUUCGUUUCGAUCCGGAGUUUUGUGAAAAGUGUUAAAAGUGAGAUAAUUUGGUUGCAGUGAGAGCAGAAGAGAACCAAGUCGAAAAUAUGCUCUUAAAAAGAUGUGCCUGGCUACAACUAUUUUGCAGCCUUCCAAUUGAGUCCGAUGAACACAAUAUUGGGCAUGGGCUACUGGUCACGACUGCCAUGUGAUGAUAUAGCUGAAACUUGCUCAUUGCACCGUUUUGGAGCAAGACGGAAGAAAACUGAAGCAAUUUCUUAAAUUAGCGAAAUAGAUCCCACAAGUAUGUAUACGCUGUGGUAGAUAAUACGAGGUCAACAAUACGUUUGAACUUCUGAGUAAGUUGGUGUUAAGCACAAAUGAAGCACAAUUAUAUGGUCGUGCAAGGCUCUGAAGCAACUCAUUGUCAUCAUACAUUGAUGCAGAUGCAGUAAAUAUUCAGUAAUGUCUGUCGACCUCAGUUAAACUUUUACACAAGUAUAUUUGUUUGUCAUCGUUCACAUCACUAAGCCAAACAAAAACAACACAUUGCCAAUCUAAAGAGCUGUUUUACACGGUACUUAUAAUAUUGGCAAAAUAUAUUGAUUUAAUAUUUCAGAGAUACGAACACAGUCGAAUGUCCCUGUGCGUAUUAUAAUUUAUUUUUUUUUACAAACUAAUAUAAUCAACUAAUAUAUCAACGAUAAUGCAUUGCUUAACAUAAAAAAAUUAAGAAGCUGUUGGAUUUCAACGCAUAUAUUGUUCCUGUCACAUACAACUGGAUCACAUAUUUUAUAUAAACUAUUAAAGUCAUCUAAACUACUAAAUUAUCUUCAAAAUGUCAAUCAAAUAUUCUAAGCUUCAUAGGAAGUACAAAUUCUGUGAAGGAGAAGUUCUACAUUUGACGAAAUUUCGUUAAUUUUACUACUCAGUUUUUUCGAGUAAAGCCGUAUGGUUCGAUCCUGUAUAGUUCUUUAAAACAAAGUUCCUUUUUCUAUCUGAAUUUAUGCGAAAACAGAAAUAAUAGAAGGUAAUUACAAAUGAAUACAUGCUUGAAAUCGUUUGUCUAGUUCUAGCAAUGAAACGAAAAGUCAAUUCUGUGGAUAAAAAAAA
Long non-coding RNA from Teleopsis dalmanni, 1126 nucleotides. RefSeq lists it as uncharacterized. The record is from RefSeq and is a predicted model, not a curated record. Lineage: Eukaryota; Metazoa; Arthropoda; Insecta; Diptera; Diopsidae. The transcript is spliced from 3 exons.